Molecule: ribosomal RNA, 686 nt
Filed under: Micromonospora sp. 11493
Lineage: Bacteria; Bacillati; Actinomycetota; Actinomycetes; Micromonosporales; Micromonosporaceae
Also listed under: 1 other name
Description: bacterial SSU rRNA
Rfam family: Bacterial small subunit ribosomal RNA
Source: RNAcentral
UGCAGUCGAGCGGAAGGCCCUUCGGGGUACUCGAGCGGCGAACGGGUGAGUAACACGUGAGCAACCUGCCCCAGGCUUUGGGAUAACCCCGGGAAACCGGGGCUAAUACCGAAUAUGACCUCUGACCGCAUGGUUGGUGGUGGAAAGUUUUUCGGCUUGGGAUGGGCUCGCGGCCUAUCAGCUUGUUGGUGGGGUGAUGGCCUACCAAGGCGACGACGGGUAGCCGGCCUGAGAGGGCGACCGGCCACACUGGGACUGAGACACGGCCCAGACUCCUACGGGAGGCAGCAGUGGGGAAUAUUGCACAAUGGGCGGAAGCCUGAUGCAGCGACGCCGCGUGAGGGAUGACGGCCUUCGGGUUGUAAACCUCUUUCAGCAGGGACGAAGCGUAAGUGACGGUACCUGCAGAAGAAGCGCCGGCCAACUACGUGCCAGCAGCCGCGGUAAGACGUAGGGCGCGAGCGUUGUCCGGAUUUAUUGGGCGUAAAGAGCUCGUAGGCGGCUUGUCGCGUCGACCGUGAAAACUUGGGGCUCAACCCCAAGCCUGCGGUCGAUACGGGCAGGCUAGAGUUCGGUAGGGGAGACUGGAAUUCCUGGUGUAGCGGUGAAAUGCGCAGAUAUCAGGAGGAACACCGGUGGCGAAGGCGGGUCUCUGGGCCGAUACUGACGCUGAGGAGCGAAAGCGU